This 405-nucleotide ribosomal RNA is filed under the name uncultured bacterium. RNAcentral's name for it is "partial 16S ribosomal RNA". It matches the Rfam family "Bacterial small subunit ribosomal RNA", at positions 30 to 526 of the family's 1533-position model. The record is from RNAcentral.
AUUGAACGCUAGCGGGAUGCUUUACACAUGCAAGUCGAACCAGUGGCGUACGGGUGAGUAAUAUAUCGGAGCGUGCCCAGUAUCGGGGGCUAACUACUCGAAAGAGUGGCUAAUUCCCCAUCCUAGUGGCGCGGCCGAUAUCGGAUUAGCUAGUUGGUGGGGUAAAGGCUCACCAAGGCAACGAUCCGUAGCUGGUUUGCGAGGACGACCAGCCACACUGGGACGGAGACACGGCCCGGACUCCUACGGGAGGCAGCAGUGGGGAAUUUUGGACAAUGGGGGAAACCCUGAUCCAGCCAUCCCGCGUGUAUGAGAAGGCCUUCGGGUUGUAAAGUACUUUUGGCAGAGAAGCGGUAUCUGCAGAAUAAGCACCGGCUAACUAUGUGCCAGCAGCCGCGGUAAUAC